AAUCAACGCUGGCGGCGUGCCUCAGACAUGCGAGUCGAACGCGAAAGUUUCCUUCGGGAAACAAGUAGAGUGGCGCACGGGUGAGUAACACGUAGGUAAUCUACCUUCGGAUGGGGAAUAACAACCGGAAACGGUUACUAAUACCGCAUAAUGCAGCGGCACCUAAUGGUGACAGUUGCUAAAGCGGGGGAUCGAAAGACCUCGCGUCUGAAGAGGAGCCUGCGGCGGAUUAGCUAGUUGGUAAGGUAACGGCUUACCAAGGCGACGAUCCGUAGCCGGCCUGAGAGGGCGGUCGGCCACACUGACACUGACAUACGGGUCAGACUCCUACGGGAGGCAGCAGUCGAGAAUUUUUGGGCAAUGGGCGAAAGCCUGACCCAGCAACGCCGCGUGAAGGGAUGAAAUCCCUCGGGAUGUAAACUUCGCAAGAACGGGAAGAAUAAGUAGGGGACAAUACCUCCUAUGAUGACGGGUACCGUUUGU
Molecule: ribosomal RNA, 483 nt
Filed under: uncultured bacterium
Lineage: Bacteria
Description: bacterial SSU rRNA
Rfam family: Bacterial small subunit ribosomal RNA
Source: RNAcentral